GUGUCAGCCGCCGCGGUAAUACAGAGGUCCCAAGCGUUACUGAGAAUCACUGGGUUUAAAGGGUGCGUAGGUGGUCCGUUAAGUCAGUUGUGAAAUCCCCGGGCUCAACCCGGGAACUGCUUCUGAUACUGGCGGACUUGAGGCCAGUAGAGGUCACUGGAACUGACGGUGGAGCGGUGAAAUGCGUAGAUAUCGUCAGGAACGCCGGUGGUGAAGACGGGUGACUGGGCUGGUUCUGACACUGAGGCACGAAAGCGUGGGGAGCGAACGGGAUUAGAAACCCUAGUAGUCC
Molecule: ribosomal RNA, 292 nt
Filed under: uncultured bacterium
Lineage: Bacteria
Description: partial 16S ribosomal RNA
Rfam family: Bacterial small subunit ribosomal RNA
Source: RNAcentral